CUCAAAACUGACUUUGUGUUUAACACAGGAAACAAGUGAAAGUACGUUUUCGGUCAAGCUGCCCAUCUCAACCAACUCUCCUCCUUACCAUAGACGCUAUUUUGACCCUCGGCGCGUCCAAUAGUCUCUGCAGUGCGCGCUCACUUUAGCGCCAGACCGCAUCGAGGAAGAACCAUAGACUGUAUAUAAAAAGGGAAGAACAGAGAGAAGCGGCUGAGACUCAGUUGACCACAGGAGGAGAAGGAGUUUUUUCCCCCUGGAAACUCGUAUAUUAGCUAUUGAGGUCAGUGGAGGUGAUGCAGAGGGACAGGGUGAUGAUGACCGCAGUCAUGUUAAUGAGGAGGGAGGAGAAGGAGGAGGACAGGGAAGAGAAGCAGCAGGAGGAGAAGGAUUCGUCUUCUCUCCCACUCACCCGACUGAUUCCUCUCCCACUGGAAGGCCCUCCUCUCGGUCUCCCGUACCCACUCUCGGCCCCUGUCACCGCCAUAGCCCAUUACUCUGUAGUCCAGCUGGAGAGAUCGCGUGCUGCCUCCUCGUCUGAUGUUCUGCUGAGUGUCACUGAGGUCGUAAUGGGAUCCCACCUCUGGAGGACGCAGACGUGACGGUGACAACCAGCUUGAAGUCUGACUGGAAGACUCCCAGCGGUAUGCUGUACAGGAAAGGACAAAAAAACACAAAAUAUAUCUUUUGAAACAGUUUAAAAUAGUAAUGUUUCAAUGGAACAACAAGCAAAGAGAUAAGAGAGUUUCCCUGGACAAACGUGUUGCCAAAUCACAGGAAGUAUGUAGAUCUCACUUGAAUGUGUGUUUUAUGUUACAGCCUUUCUGCAUUGCACAGUAUGAGCAAGGAAGGAGAUUAUCUAUCUAAUAGGAUCAGCCCGCCAAAGGUGGCGACUCACUGUCAGUGAAGUGGAAAACAAAAUAAAUAUCUCAUGGAACAGGAAGCCUUUGAUGAUGAAAUGCUCUUCAUGUAGAAACAAGUGAAUGCAGAAAGACAUGGUGAAUUAUCACAUGGAAGAAAACACAGUCGAUAAUGGGAGAGGGAGGCUGGCAGAGAGCCAUUUCUCGCCGAUACAUGCAAACAGACAAAUGCACACACAAACAAAAUUCAUAACACAUACUAUACACGUACAUACACAUGCAGACUGUAAUUGCCAGAGGUGGGUAGUACCUCAUUACAAGUAACUUAAAAAACGAACUUUUCACAUUUCCUUUUAAUACUUUACUUUCUACUUAAGUAUUUUCUUAGGCCAGUAAUCUACUUUUAACUUUGCUACAUUUGCUAUUUAUACCAUUGUUACAACUAGUCUGUUAUCUACUAUGCAUUUUGCUACAUUAACUGGAAUAAGCUGUCAUCCAAGGCGUGUGCAAUAAUGUAACUGAAAUCUAGCAACUGCACGCUGUACCACUGGUGGUCGUGUUGGAAAGCAGCCUGCUUUGCCCUUUCAUAAGCCCGCAGAAAUACUUUCACUAAAUACUAAAUAUUGCUAAAAGCCUAUAGUCUGUGCAGAACAAAUAUAGGUUACACACGGUAUAUAUCUAUAAGUCAGAUGAUCAUUGGAUUGAUUCUGGUAUAUUAACAUAAUCUUCUCGUUGCGCAGAGCAUAACUUUCUUUUAAUGGAAUUUUCUUUUCUCUAAUUCGCCGUGGUUGCUGUUUGCUUUAUAGCGAUGCCUGGUAGAAGGUGAAAUUGAUGUUGGCUUUCACACAGCAGGCUACCAGCUAUUAUGUAUUCAGGAAACAAUCAUUUUUGAGAAGCAUAUGAAGAUAAAACAGUCCUAUUGGGCUCUACGUGUGAUGCACAUGUCUCCCUCUAUAUGUAGGCUUACCGUACUUCAUUCAACCGGCUGCCCCUGUGUUAUUGCCACAAUAAUCUUUUAAGUCAUAAAGAUUAUGUUCAUAGAUGCUUUAGGUAUAAUCAUAUUGAAUUGGAUCCCUGGGCUAUUGGAGAAGGCAAAACAUACAGUGGUGGUGAUGGCGCAGUGGAACAGACGCAUGCUUUUGGUGUGAGAGACCUGGGUUCGAAUCCACUGUAAGACACCAACGUGUCCCUGAGCAAGAGCACUUAACCCCUAGUUGCUCCAGAGACGUGCGACCUCUGACAUAUAUAGCAAUUGUAAGCCGCUUUAGAUAAAAGCGUCAGCUAAACGAAUAAAUGUAAUACAGUGCCCGUCAUAUCAAAGCAUGUGGUUUGGUUGGCUACACGUCCAUAUCAACAGAUACAGGCAACAACAAGCUAGGCAGCAAUAUGAUCUUAUCGAUACUUUAAACAGAAAUAGCUAAAUUAGACAUUCCCAAGAAAUAUCCAUGUUGCACAGUGGUUAUUUCUAACCUGAUGUACGCGGAUGAAACACUUAUAAUUCUAAAAAGAGACUUGACUCAGACACUUUCCCGAAGACUUUGGACUUCAGUUGGACUUGCAUAAAAUUAUUUGUGAAGAUCUCUGGCCACCACACACUAACAAUAUUGAAACACAAAGUUUAUUGACCAAACUUUUAUUCUUUUACUUGAGUAGGUUUGUCAAACUAUAUUGUAGUUUACCCACCACUGGUAAUUGCAAACACAAACAUGUUAUAUGCAAUAUUAAUACUAUGUCAGAUGGGGAAUUUUGGAACUUUUCACCUUGUUAUAAAUGUUAAUUUUUUCUCUCUCUUAUUAUGUUGGUAUUUUUGUCUUUUUUAUGCAGUUUUUUCAGUAGUACGCUGUGUUUGGUAUGAAUGGUCAGUGUCAUUGUCCUGUCACUUUUCUUGACUUGAGCACAAACAUAUCAAAAUAAGAAAUGUACAUUUGCACUGUGUUAUA
Long non-coding RNA from Micropterus dolomieu (smallmouth bass), 2800 nucleotides. RefSeq lists it as uncharacterized. Lineage: Eukaryota; Metazoa; Chordata; Actinopteri; Centrarchiformes; Centrarchidae. The transcript is spliced from 4 exons. The record is from RefSeq and is a predicted model, not a curated record.